Molecule: ribosomal RNA, 687 nt
Filed under: uncultured marine alpha proteobacterium
Lineage: Bacteria; Pseudomonadati; Pseudomonadota; Alphaproteobacteria
Description: bacterial SSU rRNA
Rfam family: Bacterial small subunit ribosomal RNA
Source: RNAcentral
UUUUCAGUGUCGCAGCGAAAGCGAUAAACACACCGCCUGGGGAGUACGACCGCAAGGUUAAAACUCAAAUGAAUUGACGGGGACCCGCACAAGUAGUGGAGCAUGUGGUUUAAUUCGAAGAUACGCGCAGAACCUUACCAACACUUGACAUGUUCGUCGCGACUCUAAGAGAUUAGAGUUUUCGGUUCGGCCGGACGAAACACAGGUGCUGCAUGGCUGUCGUCAGCUCGUGUCGUGAGAUGUUGGGUUAAGUCCCGCAACGAGCGCAACCCUCACUUUUAGUUGCCAUCAUUAAGUUGGGCACUCUGAAAGAACUGCCAGUGAUAAGCUGGAGGAAGGUGGGGAUGACGUCAAGUCCUCAUGGCCCUUACGUGUUGGGCUACACACGUGCUACAAUGGUAUCUACAACAGGAAGCAAGACUGCGAGGUCAAGCAAAUCCCUAAAAGAUACCUCAGUUCGGAUUGCACUCUGCAACUCGAGUGCAUGAAGCUGGAAUUACUAGUAAUCGUGGAUCAGCGUGCCACGGUGAAUGCGUUCCCGGGUCUUGUACACACCGCCCGUCACACCAUGGGAGUUGGUUCUACCUUAAGGCAAGGUUUCAAACCCUUGACCACGGUAUAGUCAGCGACUGGGGUGAAGUCGUAACAAGGUAGCCGUAGGGGAACCUGCGGCUGGAUUACCUCCUU